UGGGGAAUAUUGGACAAUGGGGCAACCCUGAUCCAGCAAUGCCGCGUGUGUGAAGAAGGUCUUCGGAUUGUAAAGCACUUUCGACGGGGACGAUGAUGACGGUACCCGUAGAAGAAGCCCCGGCUAACUUCGUGCCAGCAGCCGCGGUAAUACGAAGGGGGCUAGCGUUGCUCGGAAUGACUGGGCGUAAAGGGCGUGUAGGCGGUUUACACAGUCAGAUGUGAAAUCCCCCGGGCUUAACCUGGGAGCUGCAUUU
Molecule: ribosomal RNA, 256 nt
Filed under: uncultured bacterium
Lineage: Bacteria
Description: partial 16S ribosomal RNA
Rfam family: Bacterial small subunit ribosomal RNA
Source: RNAcentral